GCCGCCUCAGUCGAUUAGAGCGCGGGUUUUAUAAGCUCGAGGUCGUAGGUUCGACCCCUGCUGGCGGCA
Parelaphostrongylus tenuis is the source of this 69-nucleotide non-coding RNA. Lineage: Eukaryota; Metazoa; Nematoda; Chromadorea; Rhabditida; Metastrongylidae. The record is from the annotation of a GenBank genome assembly.